Molecule: unclassified non-coding RNA, 313 nt
Filed under: uncultured fungus
Lineage: Eukaryota; Fungi
Description: sequence contains ITS1
Rfam family: 5.8S ribosomal RNA (bases 1-106)
Source: RNAcentral
GAAAUGCGAUAAGUAAUGUGAAUUGCAGAAUUCAGUGAAUCAUCGAGUCUUUGAACGCACAUUGCGCCCCCUGGUAUUCCGGUGGGCAUGGCCUGGCCGAGCAGCCUCAUGGUGGUGUGGUCAUGAUGUUGAGCGACGGCACCGCGAUCAAGCGCAGUCGCAAGCGCGGCGCUAGCACGCAGCUAGUGGUGCAGCUGCCCGGCAACGGCGAGCAGAGCGGCGCGGUGGCGCAGGCGGCGCUAGCGCAGCACAUUGGCUUUGGUGAGGGUGACUACUUCGAGGCUGCGUUCUUCAUCGAUGCUUACGUGCACUU